GAUGAAGAACGUAGCGAAAUGCGAUAAGUAAUGUGAAUUGCAGAAUUCAGUGAAUCAUCGAAUCUUUGAACGCACAUUGCGCCCAUUAGUAUUCUAGUGGGCAUGCCUGUUCGAGCGUCAUUAAGUCCACUUAAGCCCUGCUUAGUGUUGGGAGACUGCUCCAGCGGUGCUACCCUGUAGCUACCCUGCAGCUCCUCAAAGACAGCGGCGGAGUUGUGGUAUCCUCUGAGCUUAGUAACUUGUUCUAGCUUUCCAGUACACCACUUCCCCUGCCGUAAAACCCUUAAUUUUUAAUGGUUGACCUCGGAUCAGGUAGGAAUACCCGCUGAACUUAAGCAUAUCAAUAAGCGGAGGA
Molecule: unclassified non-coding RNA, 355 nt
Filed under: soil metagenome
Description: partial contains 5.8S ribosomal RNA, internal transcribed spacer 2, and large subunit ribosomal RNA
Rfam family: 5.8S ribosomal RNA (bases 1-120)
Source: RNAcentral